GCUGGCGUAGCUCAGCGGCCAGAGCACCCGGUUGUCAGCCGGGCGGUUCGCGGGUUCGAGUCCCGUCGUCAGCG
Molecule: transfer RNA, 74 nt
Organism: Micromonospora krabiensis
Lineage: Bacteria; Bacillati; Actinomycetota; Actinomycetes; Micromonosporales; Micromonosporaceae
Rfam family: tRNA
About the family: Transfer RNA (tRNA) molecules are approximately 80 nucleotides in length. Their secondary structure includes four short double-helical elements and three loops (D, anti-codon, and T loops).
Source: Rfam